RNAcentral lists this long non-coding RNA (223 nucleotides) under Lathyrus oleraceus (garden pea). Its description in RNAcentral is "Pisum sativum (pea) long non-coding RNA (PSAT_LNC019776)". Lineage: Eukaryota; Viridiplantae; Streptophyta; Magnoliopsida; Fabales; Fabaceae. The record is from RNAcentral.
CUUGAUCACCAAGCAUGUAUUGCAUUUGUAUAUCAUUGCUUUUCAUAUGUUUACUAACCAAAUGUACAAAAAUAUUGUCAUCUAACCAUGUUGCUUGCAGCUGAAGCAAUCAUCAGUCAAUCAGUCAAAUCAGGCCUUGAGCAAUAGAUGGUGGCCAUUCUUGAAGAAUUUGGACACCAUUAUCAUUCAUAAAGAGUUCAUAUAACUUGUGAUAUCAUUUGAA